AGUGAACGCUGGCGGUAGGCCUAACACAUGCAAAUCGAACGGCAGCACAGAGGAGCUUGCUCCUUGGGUGGCGAGUGGCGGACGGGUGAGGAAUACAUCGGAAUCUACUCUGUCGUGGGGGAUAACGUAGGGAAACUUACUCUAAUACCGCAUACGACCUACGGGUGAAAGCAGGGGAUCUUCGGACCUUGCGCGAUUGAAUGAGCCGAUGUCGGAUUAGCUAGUUGGCGGGGUAAAGGCCCACCAGGGCGACGGUCCGUAGCUGGUCUGAGAGGAUGGUCAGCCACACUGGAACUGAGACACGGACCAGACUCCUACAGGAGGAAGCAGUGGGUAAUAUUGGACAAUGGGCGCAAGCCUGAUCCAGCCAUACCGCGUGGGUGAAGAAGGCCGUCGGGUUGUAAAGCCCUUUUGUUGGGAAAGAAAUCCAGCUGGCUAAUACCCGGUUGGGAUGACGGUACCCAAAGAAUAAGCACCGGCUAACUUCGUGCCAGCCGCCGCAGUAA
Molecule: ribosomal RNA, 506 nt
Filed under: uncultured bacterium
Lineage: Bacteria
Description: partial 16S ribosomal RNA
Rfam family: Bacterial small subunit ribosomal RNA
Source: RNAcentral